GCAGUGUGUCUUCUCUUUAGUUCAUAUAAAUCUUUCACCUUUUACUAAAGAUUUCCGUAGAGAGGAACAUUUAUUAGAUAGGAUUUAGGUCUACCAUGUUAGAAU
This 105-nucleotide small nuclear RNA is filed under the name Chelonoidis abingdonii (Abingdon island giant tortoise). RNAcentral describes it as "U5 spliceosomal RNA (ENSCABG00000002176.1)". It matches the Rfam family "U5 spliceosomal RNA". Rfam says of the family: U5 RNA is a component of both types of known spliceosome. The record is from RNAcentral. Lineage: Eukaryota; Metazoa; Chordata; Testudines; Testudinidae.